AAAGGGAGCAAUCCUAAGUAAAGUGGCGCACGGGUGAGUAACACGUGGAUCAUCUACCUUUUAGUGGGGAAUACCUCUGGGAAACCGGAGACAAUACCGCAUAAGCCUGUAAAGGGAAAGCAGCAAUGCGCUGAAAGAGGAGUCCGCGGCCGAUUAGCUAGUUGGCGGGGUAAUGGCCCACCAAGGCGAAGAUCGGUAGCCGGCCUGAGAGGGCACACGGCCACACUGGCACUGAAACACGGGCCAGACUCCUACGGGAGGCAGCAGUGGGGAAUCUUGCACAAUGGACGAAAGUCUGAUGCAGCGACGCCGCGUGAGCGAUGAAGCCCUUCGGGGUGUAAAGCUCUUUCGACGGGAACGAUAAUGACGGUACCCGGAGAAGAAGCUGCGGCUAACUACGUGCCAGCAGCCGCGGUAAUACGUAGGCAGCGAGCGUUGUUCGGAAUUACUGGGCGUAAAGAGUGUGUAGGCGGUGUUCCCAGUCUGUUGUGAAAUCUCCCGGCUUAACUGGGAGGGUGCAGCGGAAACUAGAAUGCUAGAGGGUGGGAGAGGUAAGCGGAAUUCCUGGUGUAGCGGUGAAAUGCGUAGAUAUCAGGAGGAACACCUGUGGUGUAGACAGCUUACUGGACCGCUUCUGACGCUGAGACACGAAAGCGUGGGUAGCAAACAGGAUUAGAUACCCUGGUAGUCCACGCCCUAAACGAUGCAUACUUGGUGUGAGCGAUUCAUUUCGUUCGUGCCGGAGCUAACGCGUUAAGUAUGCCGCCUGGGGAGUACGGUCGCAAGGCUGAAACUC
This 796-nucleotide ribosomal RNA is filed under the name uncultured Bacillota bacterium. Its description in RNAcentral is "bacterial SSU rRNA". It matches the Rfam family "Bacterial small subunit ribosomal RNA", at positions 72 to 902 of the family's 1533-position model. The record is from RNAcentral. Lineage: Bacteria; Bacillati; Bacillota.